This 99-nucleotide ribosomal RNA is filed under the name Aphelenchoides sp. AU-2007. RNAcentral's name for it is "partial 28S ribosomal RNA". It matches the Rfam family "Eukaryotic large subunit ribosomal RNA", at positions 1 to 98 of the family's 3401-position model. The record is from RNAcentral. Lineage: Eukaryota; Metazoa; Nematoda; Chromadorea; Rhabditida; Aphelenchoididae.
AUUCACCUGAAUCGAGUAUGACUACCUGCUGAACUUAAGCAUAUCAGUAAGCAGAGGAAAAGAAACUAACAAGGAUUUCCUUAGUAACGGCGAGUGAAA